RNAcentral lists this ribosomal RNA (243 nucleotides) under uncultured bacterium. RNAcentral describes it as "partial 16S ribosomal RNA". It matches the Rfam family "Bacterial small subunit ribosomal RNA", at positions 524 to 766 of the family's 1533-position model. The record is from RNAcentral.
UACAGAGGGUGCGAGCGUUAAUCGGAAUUACUGGGCGUAAAGCGUGCGUAGACGGUUGCAUAAGUCAGAUGUGAAAGCCCCCGGGCUCAACCUGGGAAUUGCAUUUGAGACUGUGUAGCUAGGGUGCGGAAGAGGGAAGCGGAAUUUCCGGUGUAGCGGUGAAAUGCGUAGAUAUCGGAAGGAACACCAGUGGCGAAGGCGGCCUGCUGGGCUGUGCUGACGCUGAGGCGCGACAGCGUGGGG